UCCAGAGCAGCGUAGUGGUUUGAGCGUCGGACUAGAACUCUGGAGACCAGAGUUCGAAUCCUGGCUUGGCUCUGGAA
Non-coding RNA from Phrynosoma platyrhinos (Desert horned lizard), 77 nucleotides. Lineage: Eukaryota; Metazoa; Chordata; Lepidosauria; Squamata; Phrynosomatidae. The record is from the annotation of a GenBank genome assembly.